GUAGUAUUACCUCCGUCCCAAAAUUCUUGUCUUACAUUUAUUUAGAUACGGAUGUAUCUAACACUAAAAUGUAACUAGAUACAUCCGUAUUUAGACAAAUUUAAGACAAGAAUUUUGGGACGGAGGGAGUACAAA
Molecule: non-coding RNA, 135 nt
Organism: Triticum aestivum (bread wheat)
Lineage: Eukaryota; Viridiplantae; Streptophyta; Magnoliopsida; Poales; Poaceae
Source: Rfam